Long non-coding RNA from Lolium perenne, 243 nucleotides. RefSeq lists it as uncharacterized. The record is from RefSeq and is a predicted model, not a curated record. NCBI's taxonomy places the organism in Eukaryota, Viridiplantae, Streptophyta, Magnoliopsida, Poales, Poaceae.
UCAGACCCCGGGGACACCUAUCACCGUCAACAACAUGAACAUCAUCCGGAGCAUGAACCUCGAUAAUUAUUCACAAGGCAAUGACAAUGAGGCCGGCGGAAGCGGAGGAGGACAAGGUUGAUGGCAUGGUCUUCGUGCACUUUGUCGGAUUGUAUGCUUGUAAUGGAUUGUAAUAUUGGACAUUGCACUAUGGACUCUAUGUAACUUGUGUGGAUGGACUAUGGACUCUAUGUAAUGCAUGAA